CUUUUGUUCUUUUUUUCAUUAAAGUGACAUAACUUUCAUAUUUGAAGUAUCUUCCCAGUGAAUUAUUGAUCCAUAAACGAUGAUCUACAAGGAUGACACCCACUAACAAUCUAAGCAAUAGUGGAGAGGCUACCUUAAAUGCCCUCCCCUAAUAAUGAGAUUGAUGACUACCUUAUAUGACAUCCUAGAGACUUCAUACAGCAGCUGAUGGAAGCACAAGCAGACACUCACAGCUAAACACUGAACUGGAAUCCAGUUGCAGAGAGGAAGGAAUGAUGAGCAAAGUGGUAAAGACAAGGCUGGUGAAACCCACAGAAACAGCUGACUUGAACAAGAGGGACCUCAUGGACCCCAGACUGACAGCUGGGAAACCAGCAUGGGACUGAUCCAGACCCCCAGAACUUUUGUGUCAGUGAGGAGGCCUCAGAAAUCUACGGGGCCUCUGGUAGUGUCAGUAUUUAUCCCUAGCAUAGGAAUGGACUUUGGGAGCACAUUUUACAGAGAGGGAUACUCUCUCAGCCUAGACACUCCGGGGAGAGCCUAGGCCCUUCUCUAAAGGAUAUGACAGACUCUGAAGGUGCCCCAAGAAAGGCCUCACCCUCCCUGUGGAGUAGAAAGAGUAUGGAAUAGUGAGUUAGGGGCAGGGGAGGAGUGGAGAGAGAGAGGGAUUCGAAUGUAAAACAAUUUUGUUUCUAAUUUAAAUAAAAAUGAAAAAAACAAAUUCUAAAUAAAUAUUGGCAAAUUAAUGUUAGAUGGGUUUGUUUUAAAUAAGCAAUGUUUCUAGGCUUUGGAAACCUGAUAAUAUAAUUGAAUAUUUUGUAAUUAAAGAAGAAAAACUUCAAAUCACUAUUUUUUUUUGAGACAGGGUUUCUCUGUGGCUUUUGAAGCUGUCCUUGAACUUGCUCUGUAGACCAGACUGGCCUCGAACUCACAGAGAUUCGCCUGCCUCUGCCUCCCAAGUGCUGGGGUUAAAGACGUGCGCCACCAACACUCCGCUCAAAUCACCAUUUCAUAAUAGACACAGAAAAGUAUUUUACAUAAUCCACAGUCACUUAUAAUUAAAAAUAAAACAGGCAGGAUAAAAGGCCCUGUUAUCCUGAUAAUCAUCUCUAUAAAAUCCUAAGAACAAACAUCUAAAUGAAUAAUCAGAAAGUACAGACAUCACAUUCUAUGUUAUAAUAGGAGCUCAUUUGCUACCCCUGUUUUUGUUAAUAGCUGAAUUUGAUAUUCUAUCUGUAGACCCUAGGUAAUGAAAACAAAUGAUAUAU
This 1268-nucleotide long non-coding RNA is filed under the name Cricetulus griseus (Chinese hamster). RNAcentral's name for it is "lncRNA (ENSCGRG00015042416.1)". The record is from RNAcentral. Lineage: Eukaryota; Metazoa; Chordata; Mammalia; Rodentia; Cricetidae.